UACGUAGGGUGCGAGCGUUAAUCGGAAUUACUGGGCGUAAAGCGUGCGCAGGCGGUUCGCCAGGUCAGGUGUGAAAUCCCCGGGCUCAACCUGGGAAUUGCGCUUGAAACUAGCGAGCUUGAGUGUGGCAGAGGGGGGUGGAAUUCCACGUGUAGCAGUGAAAUGCGUAGAGAUGUGGAGGAACACCGAUGGCGAAGGCAGCCCCCUGGGUCAACACUGACGCUCAUGCACGAAAGCGUGGGGAGCAAACAGG
RNAcentral lists this ribosomal RNA (253 nucleotides) under uncultured bacterium. RNAcentral describes it as "partial 16S ribosomal RNA". It matches the Rfam family "Bacterial small subunit ribosomal RNA", at positions 524 to 776 of the family's 1533-position model. The record is from RNAcentral.